UUUCUCUCUCUCUGUUGGGUUUUUUUCCUGCCAUGAUUGGUUGAUUUGGAUUUUUAUAUGAUAAUCUGCCAUGUUUUCUUAUGGUUCUCUUAUCUGUAACAGUUUUGCACCCUUCUCUUUGAUUUCGGAUGUGGGCUCCCCAUCAACUAUAUUUUUUUUCUCUCUCUCUCUCACUACCUCAUGUUGGUGGAUUGACAAACUUACUUAUACUCUUUUUAUAUAUUUUUUUUGUUUCUUCUCUUUUUUACUGUUGCUUUUUCUACUCUUUUUGGGUCGCGGCAAUGAUGAAGUGGACAAUUUUUUGAAAAAGCGCCUUUUUUUUU
Molecule: long non-coding RNA, 323 nt
Filed under: Ananas comosus (pineapple)
Lineage: Eukaryota; Viridiplantae; Streptophyta; Magnoliopsida; Poales; Bromeliaceae
Description: long non-coding RNA (ACOM_LNC024614)
Source: RNAcentral